Molecule: long non-coding RNA, 593 nt
Organism: Acyrthosiphon pisum (pea aphid)
Lineage: Eukaryota; Metazoa; Arthropoda; Insecta; Hemiptera; Aphididae
Exons: 3
Source: RefSeq, a predicted model, not a curated record
AAGUACACAUUAAUUAAAAAUUAAAAUCAAACUUAUUAGCUGAUCUCACACAAUCGGAUGGAGAUGAUAAUGUAUCAGUCGCUGAAGAUAUUGUUCACCCCGUUGUAAAUUUUGCUGAUCUCACACAAUCGGAUGGAGAUGAUAAUGUAUCAGUCGCUGAAGAUAUUGUUCACCCCGUUGUAAAUUUUGCUGAUCCCACACAAUAUGAUGGAGAUGAUAGUGUAUCAGGCACUGAAGACAAUAAUCAAGUAGCUGUGGAUUCUGAUGGUAGUGGAGAUUUAUUUAUUACCAGCCAUGUGCAAGCUGUGAUAAGUAAUUCACCUGCACAGGCUGAUUAUAAGACAUUUUCAUACGAUUAAUUUCAGCGAUUCUCAAACUAUGGUACGCAGAAAGCUACAUGGUGGUAUGUGGGAGUGGGUGGGUCAACAUCAAACUUUGAAAGCUCAUUUCCGAGCUUUGGAUGACUCGCAUAUUUCAGGACCAAGCUUGAAAAUUUACGCUAAUGAAAACCAUGCUUUUGACACCAAUCUUGACUAAAUCAGCUGAAUUAGGUGGGCUACAUGAAGUUGGCCCACUCUCCAGUAGAUUAUGUA